Molecule: transfer RNA, 74 nt
Filed under: Beta vulgaris subsp. vulgaris (sugar beet)
Lineage: Eukaryota; Viridiplantae; Streptophyta; Magnoliopsida; Caryophyllales; Amaranthaceae
Rfam family: tRNA
About the family: Transfer RNA (tRNA) molecules are approximately 80 nucleotides in length. Their secondary structure includes four short double-helical elements and three loops (D, anti-codon, and T loops).
Source: Rfam by way of RNAcentral
GGGCUUGUAACUCAGUUGGUUAGAGUGCCUUCUUCACAGGGAGGAAGUCGGGGGUUCGAGUCCCUCCAAGCCCA